RNAcentral lists this ribosomal RNA (492 nucleotides) under uncultured bacterium. RNAcentral's name for it is "partial 16S ribosomal RNA". It matches the Rfam family "Bacterial small subunit ribosomal RNA", at positions 29 to 507 of the family's 1533-position model. The record is from RNAcentral.
AGUGAACGCUGGCGGUAGGCCUAGCACAUGCAGGUCGAACGGCAGCACAGUAAGAGCUUGCUCUUACGGGUGGCGAGUGGCGGACGGGUGAGGAAUACAUCGGAAUCUACUUUUUCGUGGGGGAUAACGUAGGGAAACUUACGCUAAUACCGCAUACGACCUACGGGUGAAAGCAGGGGAUCUUCGGACCUUGCGCGAUUGAAUGAGCCGAUGUCGGAUUAGCUAGUUGGCGGGGUAAAGGCCCACCAAGGCGACGAUCCGUAGCUGGUCUGAGAGGAUGAUCAGCCACACUGGAACUGAGACACGGUCCAGACUCCUACGGGAGGCAGCAGUGGGGAAUAUUGGACAAUGGGCGCAAGCCUGAUCCAGCCAUACCGCGUGGGUGAAGAAGGCCUUCGGGUUGUAAAGCCCUUUUGUUGGGAAAGAAAAGCAGCAGGUUAAUACCCCGCUGUUCUGACGGUACCCAAAGAAUAAGCACCGGCUAACUUCGUG